This 253-nucleotide ribosomal RNA is filed under the name uncultured bacterium. Its description in RNAcentral is "partial 16S ribosomal RNA". It matches the Rfam family "Bacterial small subunit ribosomal RNA", at positions 524 to 776 of the family's 1533-position model. The record is from RNAcentral.
GACGAACCUUGCUAACGUUAUUCGGAAUUACUGGGCUUAAAGGGUGCGUAGGCGGUGCGGAAAGUUGGGUGUGAAAUCCCUCGGCUCAACCGAGGAAUUGCGCCCAAAACUGCCGCACUAGAGGAAGACAGAGGUACGCGGAACUUAGGGUGGAGCGGUGAAAUGCGUUGAUAUCAUCAGGAACACCUGUGGCGAAAGCGGCUCACUGGGUCUUACCUAACGCUGAGGCACGAAAGCUAGGGGAGCGAACGGG